CCUACGGGAGGCAGCAGUGAGGAAUAUUGGUCAAUGGGCGCGAGCCUGAACCAGCCAAGUAGCGUGAAGGAUGACUGCCCUACGGGUUGUAAACUUCUUUUAUAAAGGAAUAAAGUGAGGUACGUGUGCCUGUUUGCAUGUACUUUAUGAAUAAGGAUCGGCUAACUCCGUGCCAGCAGCCGCGGUAAUACGGAGGAUCCGAGCGUUAUCCGGAUUUAUUGGGUUUAAAGGGAGCGUAGACGGGAUGUUAAGUCAGUUGUGAAAGUUUGCGGCUCAACCGUAGAAUUGCAAUGGAUACUGGACGCCUGGAGUACAGGUGAGGUAGGCGGAAUUCGUGGUGUAGCGGUGAAAUGCGUAGAUAUGACGAAGAACUCCGAUUGCGAAGGCAGCUUACUGGACUGCCACUGACGUUGAUGCUCGAAAGUGUGGGUAUCAAACAGGAUUAGAUACCCGGGUAGUC
Molecule: ribosomal RNA, 460 nt
Filed under: uncultured bacterium
Lineage: Bacteria
Description: partial 16S ribosomal RNA
Rfam family: Bacterial small subunit ribosomal RNA
Source: RNAcentral